Molecule: unclassified non-coding RNA, 254 nt
Filed under: uncultured Planctomycetia bacterium
Lineage: Bacteria; Pseudomonadati; Planctomycetota; Planctomycetia
Description: contains 16S-23S intergenic spacer region
Rfam family: Bacterial small subunit ribosomal RNA
Source: RNAcentral
GACGAACCGUGCGAACGUUAUUCGGAAUCACUGGGCUUAAAGCGCGUGUAGGCGGGCCGCCGCGUCGGCUGCUGAAAUCCCCCGGCUCAACCGGGGAAGGGGCACCGAUACGGGCGGCCUGGAGGGGGGUAGGGGGGUCUGGAACUUCCGGUGGAGCGGUGAAAUGCGUUGAGAUCGGAAGGAACGCCCGUGGCGAAAGCGAGGCCCUGGACCCUUUCAGACGCUGAGACGCGAAAGCCAGGGGAGCGAACGGG